UGGAUGGAGGGAAGGAUAGCUUGUGAAUUUGCCUGGGACAAAUCCAGGCUUUCAGAAAUGAGGGAAUACUUGAACACAGGAGAAAACAUUUGAAGAAGGGGACCAAACAGGGUUUAAGCCCCGUCCCUGAUGUUUUGGGACCCUCCUCUGACAUGGCUGCCCUUUGCAAGUUAAUCUUUGGAUAAGAUCCUAGUUGUCAGCAUGAAAGGAAAAGCUGAACACUGUGGCUGGAAAUCUGCCCCCCAGCAGAAGCCCAGUCCCUGCAAUGGAUAUAAACACCCUGUGUCCUUUGCAGAGGGUUUGUUUAUCUCCAUGGAGGGUGGAACAUGACCAGCCCGAGGGAUUUUUGGUGAUACAACAUCGUGAAAAAUGAAUGGGAAAUGCUGGAUUGCUCAGGAGAUGGCCCAGAAGAAUUGGAAGAACAUUCAGUGGUGGCUUAUAAGGGCAACAUGUAUAUUUUUGGUGGGAUGGUGGAUUUGCUUUCACACAAGUAAAAACUCCUCUCUGGACAUAUGACAUUGAUUCCACAAGAUGGACAGAGUGCCGUAACGUACCAGCAGAGAAGGAGAGCUUGGCACCAGCUCACAGAAGAGGUCACAGUGCAGUAGUGUACCAUUCCAGCAUGUACAUCUUUGGGGGAUAUAUGAUGCAUCAAAGGCAUUUUGCAGGAAUUUUGGACUUUCCAUUUUGAUACAGGAAAGUGGUUGUGUGUUUCCAGCCCAUCUCAGAACACCGGUCCAGGACCUCAGCACGGCUAUUCCACAGUGGUUUAUCCUACUGGAAUGUACCUCUUCGGAGGACUGAUGGGGCUGAGUGAGCAGAAGGACUUUUGGAAGUGGGACUUUGUAAGCAGCAGCUGAUCCAACAUCAGAACAAGCCAAGGACCUCCUCCAGUGGUAGGCCAUGCUUCAAUAGUCUGCAAAGACUCUAUGCUGAUUUUUGGCGGAGGGAUUUCAAAUUCCAGUCCUAACGAUGACCUCUGGAAGUAUCAUUUCCAUACGCAGACAUGGAAGCAGCUUAGUAGCACUGCAAACUUUCCUCCUAAGAUGUAUCACUGCAUCUUAGGAAUUGGUGCUGAUUUCCAAACUACCUCAGAUUUCACUAAUACAUCCCCCAGCCACUGGAAGAAUAAUCAGAAGGACCAUGGCCAGCUGGUGCCCAUCCCGCGGCACACUCGCUUUGGCAACUACUUCCACCAGCGGCCCAGGGACGGGACGUUGGGCAGCAAGGAUAGCAACGCCAUUGAAAUGAAAACCUUCAGCUUGCCUCUGGAGCCAGUGGGCUGCCGUGCAUUUCAGACCACCUCAGAGGCAGAAUUAGAGCCAAACAGAGACACAAGCCUUUUGUUGAAGGACAAGUCUCUCCCUCUGUUUCCCUCUUCAGAGAGAGAAACUUUGGCUGCAGCUCAGGUUGUGGGUGAAGAGGAGGGAGGUGACCCUGUGACCGCAGGGGAUGAACUCAGCAGCCACACCAGCACCUUGCUGCUCACUGGGGGCAAACCUUUGUCCAGCUUCGCCGAGAUCUCCUUCAGGCAAAUGGGAGUUCGAUAGCUUGUGAUGGCUUUGAUUACAAAGUGAAAGAAUAAAUUUCCACCACCGCGGCAGUAGGUGGAAAACCAACUGCUUGCAACUGUCUUCAGCUUCCUAUCAGCAUGCUUGGGAAAAAAAUAAUUAAACCUUCUCAUACUUGCUGUGAACAGAUUUUUUACAAUGUUAACGAAACCCAACGUAUAUUGAAGUCACAACUUGCAUGUAAGUUGUGAUUUCUGAGAAGAGCUUGUUGGAAUGCUGCUCUUUUUGUUCCUUUUCUUCCGGUCAGUUCACAUCCUUUCAAAUUGCAGUGGCUGAUGCUGCCUCCAAAAUCUGAACUGCAAGUAACCCCUACUGGCUCCACAGCUGCCAUUUCAGGGUCAAAGCUUGCUCAUGUUGCACUGGCAUUAGAGGGAAAUCUGGUCACAUUUGAAGUAUUAGAUUAAUCUUAAUGGCAACAUUCUCUAAAGUUUUUUAAGGUUUUGUUUUCUUGAGUGUUCUUUGCACAAUAUAUUUGCAACAUGAGAUAAAUAGCCUUACAACAACACAGAAAUCAACCGAACAAACUAGCAAGUGAAAUCUAGAAGAUAUUCAAGGAUUGUAUAUGGACCAUGAGUGCUCCCUGAAAAUCAUCUGCAGCCUUAGACCAGAGGAAGUACAUUAUAUUGACAAGAACAAAGGAAUUGCCAAGUGAGCGUUGGCUUUAAUGACUGAGCACAGGAUCAAAAGGGUUUGACUUCCCAUGGUGGGAUGGGGGCGACAGAAAGAGAAGGGUUUGACAGAAGGGGCACAAAGCAUGGGCUGUUCUGACUGGUAAUUCCUGUUUUAGCCACAAAGGGAUUUCUGCUUUUCCAACUCCCAUCUCUCUGUUUUGUCAACUCAGAUAGCAGUCAUUUCACAUUUCCCCUCUAUCCCAGUAAAUCUUGAGUUCAUGUAUGACUUUCCUUUGCUGAAAAGAAAAAGUACUUUUUUUGAAAGAUCAUAUAGUCCAAUGUUCCAAGCAUUUAUUUCCAUAGAAGUUAUUGAGAUACUGGCCCUCUGACAAAACUUCAGCCAUCUGUAAGAAAUGCUGCUAUCUGAAACUACUAGAAGCUAUAGGUUAAUACUUCUGAACAUUUGAAAAAGAUUGCUUUUCAAAAGUUUCAUAGGAAUAAAGGAUUUCAAGUGAGAAUGUUUACUUGUCAUCAUCUCCUCACAAGUAGCUGUCACAUGAAUUCAAUGGGCAAAUUAUAGAUGAAUUCGUAAAAAGCUACAAGAGUUAUUUGUGACCCUUGUUUGGAAACAGAAAGGAUUGUACUCUUCCACUUAGAUAAAGCCUGCUUUGUUUCCUAUCA
Molecule: long non-coding RNA, 2863 nt
Organism: Empidonax traillii (willow flycatcher)
Lineage: Eukaryota; Metazoa; Chordata; Aves; Passeriformes; Tyrannidae
Exons: 8
Source: RefSeq, a predicted model, not a curated record